AGACUUACCUGGCAGGAGAGAUUGCCUGGUCUGGAAUGUGGUUUGCACAGGGUGAGGCCUCACUACAUGCUUUGGGUGUUCCAAAUUCUUCUGAGUAAUUUCUGACAGUUGGGGAUGUGUGACACCUGUCCCAU
RNAcentral lists this small nuclear RNA (134 nucleotides) under Castor canadensis (American beaver). RNAcentral's name for it is "U1 spliceosomal RNA (ENSCCNG00000006649.1)". The record is from RNAcentral. Lineage: Eukaryota; Metazoa; Chordata; Mammalia; Rodentia; Castoridae.